This 460-nucleotide ribosomal RNA is filed under the name uncultured bacterium. RNAcentral's name for it is "partial 16S ribosomal RNA". It matches the Rfam family "Bacterial small subunit ribosomal RNA", at positions 338 to 795 of the family's 1533-position model. The record is from RNAcentral.
CCUACGGGUGGCAGCAGUGAGGAAUAUUGGUCAAUGGGCGAGAGCCUGAACCAGCCAAGUCGCGUGAAGGAUGACGGUCCUAUGGUUUGUAAACCUCUUUUAUCUGGGAACAAAGUGAGGAACGCGUUCCUUUUCGUGUGUACCCUAUGAAUAAGCAUCGGCUAACUCCGUGCCAGCAGCCGCGGUAAUACGGAGGAUGCGAGCGUUAUCCGGAUUUAUUGGGUUUAAAGGGUGCGUAGGGGGUGAAUUAAGUCAGCGGUGAAAGUUUGGGGCUCAACCCUAAAAAUGCCGUUGAAACUGGUUGACUAGAGUAGGUGUGAGGUAGGCGGAAUGCGUGGUGUAGCGGUGAAAUGCAUAGAUAUCACGCAGAACUCCGAUUGCGAAGGCAGCAUACUAGACUAUAACUGACACUGAGGCACGAAAGCGUGGGGAUCGAACAGGAUUAGAUACCCGUGUAGUC